Molecule: long non-coding RNA, 213 nt
Filed under: Oryza sativa Indica Group (long-grained rice)
Lineage: Eukaryota; Viridiplantae; Streptophyta; Magnoliopsida; Poales; Poaceae
Description: lncRNA OsKYG_11g0023980
Source: RNAcentral
UCAUCUAUAUUUAUCUGUACCAAACGGAGCAGGGCAAGCAAGAGGGACGAGGAUGGAGAGCUGUCAGAAGCCAGGCCUAGGCGAAGAUGGGGUUUUCAGCUCCUGAUAAUCACGGCGGGCACGGAGGCUGAGAUUGUCUUCAGGAGGAGGAGAUGGACAUUUCGGCUUCCGAUACGCACGGGGGUGGAGAAGGAGAAGAUGAGGAAGCGAUGA